AUUGAACGCUGGCGGCAGGCCUAACACAUGCAAGUCGAGCGGCAGCGGGACCUUCGGGUUGCCGGCGAGCGGCGGACGGGUGAGUAAUGCCUAGGAAUCUGCCUGUUAGUGGGGGAUAACGCGGGGAAACUCGCGCUAAUACCGCAUACGUCCUACGGGAGAAAGCGGGGGCUCUUCGGACCUCGCGCUAACAGAUGAGCCUAGGUCGGAUUAGCUAGUUGGUGGGGUAAUGGCCCACCAAGGCGACGAUCCGUAACUGGUCUGAGAGGAUGAUCAGUCACACUGGAACUGAGACACGGUCCAGACUCCUACGGGAGGCAGCAGUGGGGAAUAUUGGACAAUGGGCGAAAGCCUGAUCCAGCCAUGACGCGUGUGUGAAGAAGGUCUUCGGAUUGUAAAGCACUUUAAGUCGGGAGGAAGGGCUGUAGGCUAAUACCUUGCAGUUUUGACGUUACCGACAGAAUAAGCACCGGCUAACUUCGUGCCAGCAGCCGCAGUAA
RNAcentral lists this ribosomal RNA (500 nucleotides) under uncultured bacterium. RNAcentral describes it as "partial 16S ribosomal RNA". It matches the Rfam family "Bacterial small subunit ribosomal RNA", at positions 30 to 523 of the family's 1533-position model. The record is from RNAcentral.